This is a non-coding RNA of Mycena leptocephala, 90 nucleotides long. NCBI's taxonomy places the organism in Eukaryota, Fungi, Basidiomycota, Agaricomycetes, Agaricales, Mycenaceae. The record is from the annotation of a GenBank genome assembly.
GGCUCGGUAGCGGAUGUCCGCAUCUGCCUUCCAUUCAAAGUCGUUACCAGAGUAAUGCAGAUAAAGCCUGUUCGACUCAGGCCCGAGCCA